ACUCCUGCCGAUGGAUAUCUUGGCUCUCGCAACGAUGAAGAACGCAGCGAAAUGCGAUACGUAGUGCGAAUUGCAGAAUUCAGUGAAUCAUCGAACCUUUGAACGCAAAUGGCGCAUCCGGGCUCCGCUCGGACGCAUGUCUCUUCGAGGGGCGCCUCCAUCCUCCUCGGAGCGAGAGAGCUCUCUCUCUCGUCUCCGGAGCCGGCGGCCGCGCGGGGGAGCCUCGGCCCCCUCGCGCGCCCGCCCAAGGCUGCCUUGCGAGCGCGGCGGCGGCGUCUAACCCGCGUCCCCGCCGGAGUGCUAAGUCCACGACUAGACCUCCGGCGGACGCGUGCCCCGUUCUGCCUCGCGACCCCCGGCGUGCGCGGUGCCUCUCCUCUCCUCCGGGAGAGCGAGGCCCGCCCGCCCCGGCGCGCGGCCGCUCUCUGUGCGGCCGCGCGCCUCGAAACCCGCCAUCGAAUGAGGCAAGACUACCCGCUGAACUUAAGCAUAUCACUAAGCGGAGGAGAAGAAACUAACCAGGAUGCCCCUAGUAAUGGCGAAUGAAGCGGGCUGAGCUCACGCUGCCAAUCUGGAGGCCUCGCGUAUGCAGCGCCCCCCGAAUUGUGGUCUAGAGAGGCGUUAUCGGCCGCGCCCGCCGCUCAAGUCCCUUGGAACAGGGUGUCGGAGAGGGUGAGAAUCCCGUACCGUGGCGGGUUGCGGCCUUACGAUGCGUCCUCGUCGAGUCGGGUUGCUUGGGAUUGCAGCUUGAAUUGGGUGGUAAAUUCCAUCUAAAGCUAAAUACUGGCGAGAGACCGAUAGCGAACAAGUACCGUGAGGGAAAGAUGCAAAGAACUUUGAAAAGAGAGUCAAAGAGUGCUUGAAAUCGGUAGGAGGAAACCCGGAUGGGCCCGGCUUCGGCGCGCCGACUCAGCCUGGGGUUCUCCCCAGGUGCACUUCUGCGCGCCGGGUCAGCCGCGCCUCGGCGCCGCGCCUCAACCCGGGAGCGGGGCUUUACGGCCAGCUCCCGUCCUGGCGCGGCCCGGGGCCCGGCUGACGGAACGGGCCCCUCCGACCCGUCUAGAAACACGGACCAAGGAGUCUGACACGUGUGCGAGUACCCGGGUGGCAAGCCCGCGUGCGGAAUGAAAGUGAAGGGCAUGCCCUGCCAACCGACCUUGACCUUCUGUGAGGGGUUUGAGUGGAGCACACCUGUCGGGACCCGAAAGAUGGUGAACUAUGCCUGGGUAGGGUGAAGCCAGAGGAAACUCUGGUGGAGGCUCGUAGCGAUACUGACGUGCAAAUCGUUCGUCGAAUCUGGGUAUAGGGGCGAAAGACUAAUCGAACCAUCUAGUAGCUGGUUCCCUCCGAAGUUUCCCUCAGGAUAGCUUGAACGCAACGGUUUUGUCAGGUAAAGCGAAUGAUUAGAGGCCUGUGGGCUGAAACAGCUUGCACCUAUUCUCAAACUUUAAAUGGGCAAGAGGCCCGGGAUGCUUGAGUGAUCCCGGGCGGCGAACGGCGCGUUCAAAGUGGGCCAUUUUUGGUAAGCAGAACUGGCGAUGCGGGAUGAACCGAACGCCGCGCUAAGGUACCCAAGUGUCCGCUCAUCAGAUACCACAAAAGGCGUUGGUACCUCCAGACAGCAGGACGGUGGCCAUGGAAGUCGGAACCCGCUAAGGAGUGUGUAACAACUCACCUGCCGAAGGUACUAGCCCUGAAAAUGGAUGGCGCUCAAGCGGACCACCGAUGCGCGGCCGCCGGCGCGAGCGCGAGGCGCCGGCGAGUAGGAGGGCGCGGGGCUCGCGGCGCAGCCUUGGGCGCGAGCCUGGGUGAAGCGGGCCCCGGUGCAGAUCUUGGUGGUAGUAGCAAAUAUUCAAAUGAGAACUUUGAAGACUGAAGUGGAGAAAGGUUCCGUGUGAACAGCAGUUGGACACGGGUGAGCCGACCCUAAGAGACAGGAAAACUCCGCCGAACGCGGCUGGUUCUGUCAGCCCGUCCGUCGAAAGGGAAUCGGGUUAAUAUUCCCGAGCCAGCGCGUGGAUGGUGGGCGGCGACGCGAACGAACCCGGAGACGCCGGCGGGAGCCCUGGGAAGAGUUCUCUUUUCUUCUUAACUGCCUCCUGCCCUGGAAUCGGUUUAGCCGGAGCGAGGGCUACACGGCAGGCAAAGCACCCUAAGUCUUGGGGUGUCCGGCGCGCUCCCGACGGCCCGUGAAAAUCCGGGGGAGCGGUUCGUUCUCACGCCUGGUCGUACUCAUAACCGCAUCAGGUCUCCAAGGUGAACAGCCUCUAGUCGAUAGAGCAAUGUAGGUAAGGGAAGUCGGCAAAAUGGUUCCGCAACCUCGGGAGAAGGAAUGGCUCUGAAGGCUGGGCGCAGGGGUCCUAGGCUCGAGGCCGGCUGGCUGCGCGGGGACUACGGCCUCACGGCUGCGGAUCCCGCGCGGCCGUCCGGCGGACGGCCUAGGAGCGCUCCGGCUCUCCCUGCGCGACGAACAGCCGCUUCAGAACUGGCGCGGACAAGGGGAAUCCGACUGUUUAAUUAAAACAAAGCAUUGCGAUGGCCCGCGAGGGUGCUGACGCAAUGUGAUUUCUGCCCAGUGCUCUGAAUGUCAAAGUGAAGAAAUUCAACCAAGCGCGGGUAAACGGCGGGAGUAACUAUGACUCUCUUAAGGUAGCCAAAUGCCUCGUCAUCCAAUUAGUGACGCGCAUGAAUGGAUUCGUGAGAUUCCCACUGUCCCUAUCUACUGUCUAGCGAAACCACAGCCAAGGGAACGGGCUUGGAAGAAUCAGCGGGGAAAGAAGACCCUGUUGAGCUUGACUCUAGUCUGUUACUGUGGAACGACUUGAUGGGUGUAGAAUAUGCGGGAGGGGCAACCCGACAGUGAAAUACCGCAACCGUCAACGUUGUUUUACUUACUCGGUGGCGCGGAGGGAGGCUCGCCUCACUUCUGGAUCCAAGCCGCUUCGUGCGCGCGAUCCGCGUCGGGGACACUAACAGGUGGGGAGUUUGGCUGGGGCGGCACGUCUGUUAAAAAAUAACGCAGGCGCCCGAUUUUGAGCUCAAUGAGAACAGAAAUCUCAUGUGGACCGAAAGGGGAAAAGCUCGGUUGAUUUUGAUUUUCAGUACGAAUACAAACCGCGAAAGCGUGGCCUAUCGAUCCUCUCGUCUUUGGGAAUUUCAAGCUAGAGGUGUCAGAAAAGUUACCACAGGGAUAACUGGCUUGUGGCUGCCAAGCGUUCAUAGCGACGUAGCUUUUUGAUCCUUCGAUGUCGGCUCUUCCUAUCACUGCCUCGCAGCGGGGGCCAAAUGCAGGAUUGUUCACCCACCAACAGGGAACGUGAGCUGGGUUUAGACCGUCGUGAGACAGGUUAGUUUUACCCUACUGCUGUCUGUUUUUCUACGGUAAUUUGGUUCAGUACGAGAGGAACCACCAAUUCGCAUCAUCGGUAUAGCCGCCGCCGGAAACGGCGAUGCGGCGAAGCUGCCAUGCGCCGGAUUAUAACUGAACGCCUCUAAGUUAGAAUCCAUGCCGGAAGGAAAGCCACCUACCGGCCCGGGGACGCCACGAGCAACGGUAGCACUGCCUGAGCCGCGAGCGACCACAAUUCACGGACCCGGGCCGACGAAUCCCUUGCAGACGACUUGAAUAAGGAACGGGGUAUUGUACGCGGCAGAGUGGCCUUGUUGCCACGAUCCGCUGAGAUUCAGCCUUGGUUCUGACGAUUUGUUGCGCGCGCGCAACAACCCUCAAGGGCCUCUCCCGUUCCUCAGUCGCUCUCUCGGCGCUCUCCCCCCCUCGCCUCUUCUCCGAGCCUCACUCGCUCGGGGGCGGAGCCGAGGGGGCGAGAGCGCCAUUUCUGCCCAAGGCAGCGCGCAGGCCACUGCGCAGACACACCCGGCUCUCCCCGAGCCGCCAUUGGGCGCUCCCGCGGUCCCCUCCGGGCUGAAUGCGGCCUCCGGAGCGGGCGGCGCGAGCGUCUAAGUCUACUCAGAGCCUUCCACGCUCUUCUUUGCGUUCCAAAGCACCCACUUUACCGUUACCUCCACCGCCCUCGCCACCGCCCUCGCCACCGCCCACGCCGCCGCGCUACCAUUCCGGCCACCCUCCCCACCCUCAUCCCCACCUUGCCCCCGCCGCCCGUUGCAGCUGCCGUCGCCGUCGAGCCCGCCCUCCGACGCUAGCCCCCGCCCUUUACCGCCGCCCUCGCCGCCCUCACCGCCGCCCCCGCCGCCACCCUCGCCUCCGUGUGACACUCCGCCUCCCGCCCCGCCGCCGCCGCCCUCCAGCAUGCCGCCGCUCUCACCCUCUCCCCUCCAGCCGCCCCACAACCCUAGCUGGCCGCCGCCCCCUCGCCACCACCGUCACCUCCACCGCCCUCGCCGCCGGCCUGCCCCAAGGCAGUGCGCAGGCCACUACGCAGACACACCCGGCCCUCUCCGAGCCGCCACGGGGGGCACUCCCGCGGUCCCCUCCGGGCUGAAUGCGGCCUCCGGAGCGGGCGGCGCAAGCGUCCUACCCCCCUCAGAGCCUUCCACGCUCUUCUUUGCGUUCCGAAGCACCCACUGCGCUCCUCUGUAGCAUCACCCAGUCACCUCCCUUGCCACUCUCCUUGCGCACUUGGCCGAGGCGUCGCCAGGCACGCACGCCGCUCCUCAACCCCGUGUCGGCCUGCCGCCGCCCUCGCCUCCAGCCGCCCCGCCACCCUCACCGCCACCGCCCUCGUCACCACCGUCUCCACCGCCGCUGCUCUCACCACCCUCGCCACCACCACCAUGCCCGCCUCCCUCGCUGCCACCCACGCCCCCGGCCCUUGCCGCCGCCCUUGCCCCCGCCCUCGCCCGCCGCCGCCUCCCGCCCCGCCGCGCCGCACUCACCCCCGCCCCUCUCGGCCUGCUGCCAAUCUCACCACCCCUCGCCGCCGCCGCCCUCGUCGCCACCGUCUCCGCCCCCUCCCUCGCCGCCGGGGCCCGGCCUCGCAGCCACGGCACCCUUGCCCCCACCACCCUCCUUCGACCUUCCGCCCCCGCCGCCCUCGCCGCCGCCCUCCCGCCCCGCACCACCCUCCCCUCGGCCGCCCUCCGGACUGCCGCCGCUCUCGCGCCCUCGCCUCCAGCCGCCCCGCUGCCCUCCCCACUGCCCCCUCGCCGCCACCCUACACCACCACCCUCGCCGCCGCCGCCCUCGCCGCCGCCCUACCCCCCUCGCCGUCUCCACAGAAGUCCUGUCACAACACACAAGAGCAGUGUUAGCACGUGGCGCCCCGCUAGAGCAGACUCACGCCGCUGCGCGUACGUAGCGGGCCACCCGCCACGUUUUGCACGUUGCGUUGGUCCGCGUUUUGAGGACACGUUCCACGUGUUGCGGUUGCCACGUCGUCGUCGAGCGUCGUCUCGUCUACGCACUAAAGCCGUACGGGAGACGGGAGCGCGCACACGUUCACGACGCGAAUUUGGACCGACACCAGCGGGCCGGCGGGCCCCGCCCCCCACACCAACAUGGCUAUCGAAGCUCAGAAUCGGUCUCCGCGGAGACCCAUUGGUCAUUGCGUAUUGCGCUCAUCUCCUCGCUAAAAAGAAACGAAAAGGAAGAACCUGAGGGAGGGUGUAGAGGAUGUAGAGUGUAGAGCGCUGUAGAGCUGUAGAGCUGUAGAGCGCUCUAGAGCGCUGUAGAGCUGUAGAGCUCUACAUCCGCCGCGGGACAGAGCGAUGCAGAUGUAGAGCGAAGGCCCUCUACAGCGUGAAAUCUCUAAACAUAAGCGGCGAACGAGGCACGGUCGCUCUCCGACAUGAGGCGCGUUGCACUUGCCAGUGCUGCCCUGGCCUUCUGUCUGCCCGCCCAAUGGGUGGCAGUUGCCUCUGCUGCUGUGGCAUGCCUCACGGCUGCGACUGGCCGGCGCCUCGGCGCGUCAGCUCGGCUCGGCGUAGCGAUCGUGGCCAGCGCAACUCGCCUGGACUGGACUCAACGCUCAGCCAGGAGCUCCCGCACGCGCUGGCGCGAGUCAUGGCGCAUGCAACGCGUCUGAAUGCUCGCCUCGCCUCGCGCAAAUGCGACCGUCCUCGCAGCCGACAGUCCACCGCCUGCUAAAGAAGCACUGCGACGAAUGCGGCACCGGCGACGCAUGGCAGGCUGGUCAUGACGCAGUUAUAGGGUGUUGUGUGCCGUCAGAGUGACUCUCUGUGUGUCAGGGAUAGUCAGGGCCGUCCACCAGAGCUCCAGUAAGCUCGGAGACACCCCAUUAGUGCGGCUCGACCUCUUUGAGUCACUGCCUUCCCGGCGGUUUUGCUGUAGAGCCUCUACAACAAACUCUACAGCAAAAUCGCGCUCUACAUCGCUCUACAUCUGCAUCGCUCUGUCCCGCGCCGGAUGUAGAGCUCUACAGCUCUACAGCGCUCUACAGCGCUCCAGGGCGCUCUACAUCUCUACAGCUCUACAGCGCUCUACACUCUACAUCCUCUACACCCUCCCUCAGGGAAGAACUUUGGUUUGU
This 6467-nucleotide ribosomal RNA is filed under the name Emiliania huxleyi CCMP1516. Its description in RNAcentral is "28S_rRNA". The stretch from base 451 to 3707 matches the Rfam family "Eukaryotic large subunit ribosomal RNA". The record is from RNAcentral. Lineage: Eukaryota; Haptophyta; Isochrysidales; Noelaerhabdaceae.